This is a non-coding RNA of Phrynosoma platyrhinos (Desert horned lizard), 72 nucleotides long. NCBI's taxonomy places the organism in Eukaryota, Metazoa, Chordata, Lepidosauria, Squamata, Phrynosomatidae. The record is from the annotation of a GenBank genome assembly.
GCCAGAAUGGCAUAGUGUUUAGAGUAUUGGACUAUGACUCUGGAGACCAGGGUUUGAUUCCCCACUUAGCCA